UUAAUAGCCCUGGAGACUGAAGCCCUGCAUUUAUUCAUAGCACAGGUACAACACAAGAAACCAAUGUCUAAGCCUUCCCACUCAUCUCUACAAAUGUGAUCUAGUGGGAACAAAUAAUCUCUCUGUCCGAGAGCAUAUUCUUCAUUCCCAUUCAGUACUUUGCCCCU
This 167-nucleotide small RNA is filed under the name Chrysemys picta bellii (western painted turtle). RNAcentral's name for it is "TUC338 (ENSCPBG00000016489.1)". The record is from RNAcentral. Lineage: Eukaryota; Metazoa; Chordata; Testudines; Emydidae.